GGGCCGGUAGCUCAGCCUGGAAGAGCGCUGCGUUGGCAUCGCAGAGACCCCCUUUAAAGGGGCUGAAAGUCCAGGGUUCAAAUCCCUGCCGGUCCACCA
RNAcentral lists this transfer RNA (99 nucleotides) under Candidatus Geothermarchaeota archaeon. Its description in RNAcentral is "tRNA-Ala". It matches the Rfam family "tRNA". Rfam says of the family: Transfer RNA (tRNA) molecules are approximately 80 nucleotides in length. Lineage: Archaea; Thermoproteati; Candidatus Geothermarchaeota. The record is from RNAcentral.